GUGGGGAAUAUUGNCNCANUGGGGGGAACCCUGACGCAGCCAUGCCGCGUGAAUGAAGAAGGCCUUAGGGUUGUAAAGUUCUUUCGGUAUUGAGGAAGGUUGAUGUGUUAAUAGCACAUCAAAUUGACGUUAAAUACAGAAGAAGCGCCGGCUAACUCCGUGCCAGCAGCCGCGGUAAUACGGAGGGUGCGAGCGUUAAUCGGAAUAACUGGGCGUAAAGGGCACGCAGGCGGUUAUUUAAGUGAGGUGUGAAAGCCCCGGGCUUAACCUGGGAAUUGCAUUUCAGACUGGGUAACUAGAGUACUUUAGGGAGGGGUAGAAUUCCACGUGUAGCGGUGAAAUGCGUAGAGAUGUGGAGGAAUACCGAAGGCGAAGGCAGCCCCUUGGGAAUGUACUGACGCUCAUGUGCGAAAGCGUGGGGAGCAAACAGGAUUAGAUACCCUGGUAGUCCACGCUGUAAACGCUGUCGAUUUGGGGGUUGGGGUUUAACUCUGGCGCCCGUAGCUAACGUGAUAAAUCGACCGCCUGGGGAGUACGGCCGCAAGGUUA
Molecule: ribosomal RNA, 549 nt
Filed under: uncultured bacterium
Lineage: Bacteria
Description: bacterial SSU rRNA
Rfam family: Bacterial small subunit ribosomal RNA
Source: RNAcentral